RNAcentral lists this ribosomal RNA (515 nucleotides) under uncultured bacterium. RNAcentral describes it as "partial 16S ribosomal RNA". It matches the Rfam family "Bacterial small subunit ribosomal RNA", at positions 28 to 523 of the family's 1533-position model. The record is from RNAcentral.
GAUGAACGCUGGCGGCGUGCCUAAUACAUGCAAGUCGAGCGAAUGGAUUAAGAGCUUGCUCUUAUGAAGUUAGCGGCGGACGGGUGAGUAACACGUGGGUAACCUGCCCAUAAGACUGGGAUAACUCCGGGAAACCGGGGCUAAUACCGGAUAACAUUUUGAACCGCAUGGUUCGAAAUUGAAAGGCGGCUUCGGCUGUCACUUAUGGAUGGACCUGCGUCGCAUUAGCUAGUUGGUGAGGUAACGGCUCACCAAGGCAACGAUGCGUAGCCGACAUGGUGGGUGGAUCAGCCACACUGGGACUGCGACCCGGCCCAGACUCCGACGGGAGGCAGCAUUAGGGAAUCUUCCGAAAUGGGCGAAAGUCUGACGGAGCAACGCCGCGGGAGUGAUGAAGGCUUUCGGGUCGUAAAACUCUGUUGUUAGGGAAGAACAAGUGCUAGUUGAAUAAGCUGGCACCUUGACGGUACCUAACCAGAAAGCCACGGCUAACUACGUGCCAGCAGCCGCCGUAA